Setaria italica (foxtail millet) is the source of this 1547-nucleotide long non-coding RNA. RefSeq lists it as uncharacterized. NCBI's taxonomy places the organism in Eukaryota, Viridiplantae, Streptophyta, Magnoliopsida, Poales, Poaceae. The record is from RefSeq and is a predicted model, not a curated record. The transcript is spliced from 5 exons.
CGCCGUGCGGCGUGCGGCCGCGACCGCUCCUUCUGCCCGUCCCGAGCUCUCGGCAAGAACCCUAGCCGCCGCAGUGCCGCGCGCUGUCCGACUUCCCCAGCGCCGGCCUGGUCGGCGAUUGCUGGUGCAGCUUGCUGGUGUCCCUGGCCGCCGGCCUGCCACCGCGGGGGAGCAAGGAGGCACUCUCGGCUCUCAUGGUAGAGGAGGUGGGUGAGCAGGGGAGCGACGCCGGCGGCGGCCGUGGCCACGGCGUAGACGCUGCUGGGCACGGCCAAGGACGAGGAGCGGCCCCGGUAGCGGCUGAUGCCGAGGAGAAGGAACAGCCGGCAUCGGCGUUGGGCGAGGGUGAGGCGCCCUCAAUUGCCUGUCUUGCAAUUGGUAAGAAGAAGAUGGUAACAAAAAGGAACAAGGAAGAAAUAAAUGCUAUGCUCACAUUGGCGUGAGAACGGUUUCACAUGCAUGCGCUGGCGUGUGCGGCCUUCCAUACCCGUGGGCCGUGGCAUAUCCUCAGGUAGCGGACCAGUUGGUGCUGCACGCCUACACCACGUCUCGUCUCAGCCAGCUGCAGUUCCCGUCAAAGGAAGCCAUCUCUGCUCCACUUCACACCAGGCGAGCCUCUUCUCUUCAUCCCCUGCUCCUCUCCGUGCUCCUCCACCAUCACCAUCGAGCUCGUCCUCCUUGAUCCACUGCACCCUGCUGAUUGUCUGGUUCAUCGGCAACUGAUCCGAAAAGCUAGCGUCUAGCGAGCAAGAUGAAGAAUGUGGUGGGGAGCCCAGGGACCUGGAGUGGCCUGGCGCUGAGGGUGUCGCGAUGCAUGUUCGCUGCUGCCUCAUACGCUGCCUUGAUCUCUGCACCCGAUCACGAUGACUUCACCGCCUUCCGGGCCUUGCAAAUUUCCAUGGAAAUGCAAUUUCUUUGGAGUUUCGUGCUGCUUUGCGUUGGUAUACACUGUUUGAGGACAAAGCGUCAUCUCAACGAACCUGGUGUACUCAUGGUUGUUACUUUUGACUGGCUGACAGCCAUCCUAUCAAUGGCGACUGCUUCUGCAUCCGCUGCUGUGACCAUUUAUUUGUAGAGAGACUUCACCUUGUGCACGACGUACCCACAACUCCCAUGCAGCCGAUACAAGAUUUCGGUUAUCUGGCAUUCAUUUCUUGGUCAUUUGUAGCUGCAUCUUCGGCUUCAUCAUUUUGGCUGCUGACUUCUUUUCAUCAUGGCUAAGAUUUCGCUAACGUACAGAGAAAUCAGCAAGUUCAUCAGCAACUUUUGAGCUGAGUUUUGCUGGUUACUACUCUUCCUCAUUAUUUGUGUAUAUUAGGCUUGUGAUGGAAGUGAACAGAGGACGCUCUUGAAAUAAAAGGUAGGGUGAUCUAGGAUGGGAGGUCGCCGGAUCGAUAUCUGGAGAUGCAUGGAUAUCUGUGUCAGUAGGUGGUGUGUAUAUGCAUACAAUUUUAGCUCUUGAAUGGAGUUACUAAUGAUGCAAGCAUGCUCGUGAAUUCUAGUUAAGAAAUAUAAAAAAUAUUAAGAUACUUUUAAAUGCUUCAAUA